Molecule: long non-coding RNA, 386 nt
Filed under: Homo sapiens (human)
Lineage: Eukaryota; Metazoa; Chordata; Mammalia; Primates; Hominidae
Description: HSALNT0394705
Source: RNAcentral
AGGAAUUCAGCAGCCAACACAAAAGAAACUUUCUCUGAGAAGAUUUGCAGAGGAGGCCUGGUGUUUCCCAGCUAUUCAAUACCGGAAUUUGUUUUCAUGUUUUCAAGUCAAAAAAUAAGGGUCUUGAUCAGGAACACACAGGGGAAGGGCCACUUCAACAAUGACCAAGCCCAGCGAAUUUUGACCAAAGAUGUUAUCUUAUUUCAUCCUUCCAUGUGGGUUUUACCGUCCCCUUGAACAAGGAGAAAACUAAGGCUGAGAACAUUGAAGUAGCACGAUCAUGGCAGAGGUUACCAGGUGUAAACCCCAGAGUUGGAAGCACAAUUUGAGAAUGCAGUGCUCUCUUCCGGAUUCCAGUGGCCAUGCUCCUGACUCCUCGAUUUUUA